GCAUCUUUAGCUCAGUUGGUAGAGCAACUGACUCUUAAUCAGUGGGUCCAGGGUUCGAGUCCCUGAAGAUGCA
This 73-nucleotide transfer RNA is filed under the name Peptostreptococcaceae bacterium oral taxon 113 str. W5053. It matches the Rfam family "tRNA". From Rfam's summary of the family: Transfer RNA (tRNA) molecules are approximately 80 nucleotides in length. Their secondary structure includes four short double-helical elements and three loops (D, anti-codon, and T loops). Lineage: Bacteria; Bacillati; Bacillota; Clostridia; Peptostreptococcales; Peptostreptococcaceae. The record is from Rfam by way of RNAcentral.